Molecule: non-coding RNA, 1339 nt
Organism: Osmia lignaria (orchard mason bee)
Lineage: Eukaryota; Metazoa; Arthropoda; Insecta; Hymenoptera; Megachilidae
Source: RefSeq, a predicted model, not a curated record
UUUGCAAAAUUUCAUUCCAAUUUUUAACGUUAGAGGGCGCAAAAAUCCCGCCCAUUUGUGGAAAUACAAGUAGCACUAUUUAGCAAUAAUUAUAUGUAUACAUAAUUAAGAAGGGAUACAUUGGAAUGCAAGGAUGUAAGGGCUGCAAGGAUGUGAGGGGUGCAAAGAUGUAAGGGAUGCAAGGAUCUAAGGGAUGCAGAGAUAUAAGGGAUACAAUGAUAUAAGGAAUUUGUCAGUGCGAGGUGUGGUAAAAGAGGGACGUGCAGAUUUAACCUCGCAUGGGGGUAUCUGGAACUUCCAAAAUGAUGGCUCCUCAAGAACAAAGGCAUGUCCAGUCUUUUGGUAUCUGUAGUCACUGGCUCGAGACAGUGAGUGAUGGGGUAUAGUCAUUGAUAUCGAAGCCAUCUGUUAACGCACAGUAGACGUGCGUUAAACUGUUGCAAUGCGACGUGUUUCAUUAGUUUAGAUCAAAUAACGCUUGUUCUUUAAAUACAAAUGCAGCACUCCUCGAAAACAAAGGCAUGUCCAGUCUUAUUGGAUCUGUAGUCACUGGUUUGAAUAUUAACUGUGCUCUCUAGACCGGAAAACCAACACGAUUUGAACUCGGUAGCGAGCUUCGGCAAGUAUAUUAGCAGAUACCCCGUGCAAAUACUUCGCCUAAUUAUAUGUACCGUGAUCAUACGGAAAAUGAUUAAAGAAAGGAAACUUUAUUUUUGGUAUAUUCUUCCUUAAAAAUUGAUAAAAUGCACGUACUAUGUAUUGAUAGGAAAUUAUGUAGGAGAAUUGUUAGGUGUCCCAUAAACUGUAUACAUAUUAUCUGUACCUCUGCAGAUAUGUCGCAUUAUACACAUACCUUAUAUCCGAUAAUACACUGAAGAUAUAGGAUGGGCUGUGGUGGCUGAGUUUAGAUAAACCAAUGUAUUAAUUGGAAAUUAAUGCAAAACCCACGUCACGAAUAUCAAUACCUAUGAGGUAUAAGCACUAAAGAUAAACAGCUGAAGACGAAACAAAACAUUCAAAAUCUUUUUAAGAAGAAGACUGGAUACAAGAUAUUAAAUGCAAAGGUUAAUCGCAUGAAGAAUAUGCAAAUAUUGAUCCGUCAAAUUUAUAUUUUUAUUAUGAUGUAUGUAAGGAUAAAGAACGCCUGUAUGAUCGUUGAAAAUUAUGUCCGAGGCUACCCGCCAUCUUUUUAAUUGCUUAAAAAUAGAGGCUACAAUUUAUUAAUUUUCUUUCUAAAAUUAUUUUUAAAAAAUGUUCUAUUCUUUUUAGUUAUAAUGAAUCAGGAAAUUCUUAUGUUUAUUUCGUGAGAGAGUAAUUUCAUUAAAAUUUAUUGAUUAUA